GAAAAUGAGGAAAAAUUAAACUCAAAUGUGAUUAAUGAUCCUUAAAUUUUGCUUAUUGAUAUUCUGAUUCCA
This is a non-coding RNA of Arabis alpina (gray rockcress), 72 nucleotides long. The record is from Rfam. Lineage: Eukaryota; Viridiplantae; Streptophyta; Magnoliopsida; Brassicales; Brassicaceae.